GCUGAUGUGGCUCAGGGGUAGAGCACACCCUUGGUAAGGGUGAGGUCGUGAGUUCGAUUCUCACCAUCAGCACCA
RNAcentral lists this transfer RNA (75 nucleotides) under Bdellovibrionales bacterium. Its description in RNAcentral is "tRNA-Thr". It matches the Rfam family "tRNA". From Rfam's summary of the family: Transfer RNA (tRNA) molecules are approximately 80 nucleotides in length. Lineage: Bacteria; Pseudomonadati; Bdellovibrionota; Bdellovibrionia; Bdellovibrionales. The record is from RNAcentral.